RNAcentral lists this ribosomal RNA (444 nucleotides) under uncultured bacterium. RNAcentral's name for it is "partial 16S ribosomal RNA". It matches the Rfam family "Bacterial small subunit ribosomal RNA", at positions 354 to 796 of the family's 1533-position model. The record is from RNAcentral.
GUAGGGAAUAUUGGGCAAUGGUCGGAAGACUGACCCAGCCAUGCCGCGUGCAGGAAGACGGCCCUCUGGGUUGUAAACUGCUUUUAUCUGGGAAGAAAAAGGCCAUGCGUGGCAAAUUGCCGGUACCAGAUGAAUAAGCACCGGCUAACUCCGUGCCAGCAGCCGCGGUAAUACGGAGGGUGCGAGCGUUGUCCGGAUUUAUUGGGUUUAAAGGGUGCGUAGGCGGCUGAUUAAGUCAGCGGUGAAAGAGUUCGGCUUAACCGGAGCAGUGCCGUUGAUACUGGUUGGCUUGAGUGUCGGAGGGGUACAUGGAAUUGAUGGUGUAGCGGUGAAAUGCAUAGAUACCAUCAGGAACACCGAUAGCGAAGGCAUUGUACUGGCCGACAACUGACGCUGAUGCACGAAAGUGUGGGGAUCGAACAGGAUUAGAAACCCUAGUAGUCC